This 229-nucleotide ribosomal RNA is filed under the name uncultured bacterium. RNAcentral describes it as "partial 16S ribosomal RNA". It matches the Rfam family "Bacterial small subunit ribosomal RNA", at positions 568 to 796 of the family's 1533-position model. The record is from RNAcentral.
UGCGUAGGCGGAAUAUUAAGUCAGAGGUGAAAUCCCACAGCUCAACUGUGGAACUGCCUUUGAUACUGGUUGUCUUGAGUUAUAGUGAAGUAGAUAGAAUAUGUAGUGUAGCGGUGAAAUGCAUAGAUAUUACAUAGAAUACCGAUUGCGAAGGCAGUCUACUAACUGUAUACUGACGCUAAUGGACGAAAGCGUGGGGAGCGAACAGGAUUAGAUACCCUGGUAGUCC